GACGAACGCUGGCGGCGUGCUUAACACGUGCAAGUCGAACGGAAAGGCCCUGCUUUUGUGGGGUGCUCGAGUGGCGAACGGGUGAGUAACACGUGAGUAACCUGCCCUUGACUUUGGGAUAACUUCAGGAAACUGGGGCUAAUACCGGAUAGGAGCUCCUGCUGCAUGGUGGGGGUUGGAAAGUUUCGGCGGUUGGGGAUGGACUCGCGGCUUAUCAGCUUGUUGGUGGGGUAGUGGCUUACCAAGGCUUUGACGGGUAGCCGGCCUGAGAGGGUGACCGGCCACAUUGGGACUGAGAUACGGCCCAGACGCCUACGGGAGGCAGCAGUGGGGAAUAUUGCACAAUGGGCGGAAGCCUGAUGCAGAAACGCCGCGUGCGGGAUGACGGCCUUCGGGUUGUAAACCGCUUUCGCCUGUGACGAAGCGUGAGUGACGGUAAUGGGUAAAGAAGCACCGGCUAACUACGUG
This 468-nucleotide ribosomal RNA is filed under the name uncultured bacterium. RNAcentral describes it as "partial 16S ribosomal RNA". It matches the Rfam family "Bacterial small subunit ribosomal RNA", at positions 28 to 507 of the family's 1533-position model. The record is from RNAcentral.